UUUUUGAAUUAAUAAUUUAAAGUCUAAUCUGCCCACUGAUAAUAAAUUAAAGGGCUGCAGUAUUUUGACUGUACAAAGGUAGCAUAAUCAUUAGUCUCUUAAUUAGUGACUUGUAUGAAAGAUUUGAUGAAAUAUAUACUGUCUCUUUUUAAUUAAUAGAAUUUAAUUUUUUAGUUAAAAAGCUAAAAUAUUUUUAAAAGACGAGAAGACCCUAUAGAGUUUAAUAUUUAAUUUAUAUUAAAAUUUUUUAUAAAAUUUAUAAUUUUAAUAUAUAUGAAUAUUUUGUUGGGGUGACAAAAAAAUUAAAAUAACUUUUUUUUUUAAUUUUACAUUAAUAAAUGAUUAAUUGAUCCGUAAUUUACGAUUAUAAGAAAAAAUUACCUUAGGGAUAACAGCGUAAUUUUUUUUUUUAGUUCAAAUAAGAAAAAGAGUUUGCGACCUCGAUGUUGGAUUAAGAUAAAAUUUAAAUGCAAAAGUUUAAAAUUUUUGAUCUGUUCGAUCAUUAAAAUCUUACA
RNAcentral lists this ribosomal RNA (515 nucleotides) under Parnassius nordmanni. RNAcentral's name for it is "partial 16S ribosomal RNA". It matches the Rfam family "Bacterial large subunit ribosomal RNA", at positions 1831 to 2600 of the family's 2925-position model. Lineage: Eukaryota; Metazoa; Arthropoda; Insecta; Lepidoptera; Papilionidae. The record is from RNAcentral.